GGGCCUGUAGCUCAGCUUGGGAGAGCGCACGCUUCGCAUGCGUGAGGCCAGGGGUUCGAUCCCCCUCAGGUCCA
RNAcentral lists this transfer RNA (74 nucleotides) under Candidatus Omnitrophica bacterium CG12_big_fil_rev_8_21_14_0_65_50_5. RNAcentral describes it as "tRNA-Ala". It matches the Rfam family "tRNA". Rfam says of the family: Transfer RNA (tRNA) molecules are approximately 80 nucleotides in length. Lineage: Bacteria; Pseudomonadati; Candidatus Omnitrophota. The record is from RNAcentral.